Molecule: ribosomal RNA, 420 nt
Filed under: Triticum aestivum (bread wheat)
Lineage: Eukaryota; Viridiplantae; Streptophyta; Magnoliopsida; Poales; Poaceae
Description: partial small subunit ribosomal RNA
Source: RNAcentral
AUGCAAUUUCUCCAUGAAGCUCUAAGUUUUCGUCUCUCACCACGAUCCUUGAGUACUGUGGAGCAGCUUCUUCAUCCAGCCUCUUGUUUUCGUCUUCAGCAGGACUACAAGGCGAAUUGCUACAUAAACAGCAGAGAGAGAGCAUGGGGACGGCCUGCCCCACAUCCCAUGAGGCUGGGGUCAACAGAAAUUCCAAACUUAAGCUGCGGUCGGAGAUCUAUGAUUCUUCUUCAUCGAAAGAAGAAACACCUUUUCUGUCAUCCAUGUCUACAUACAUGCAUGCCUGCAAAAGGAAACAUAAUCUCUGCAUUGUGUUACAUUCAGGAGCAUGCAUUUUAUCCCAGUUUUGUACUUCUGAAUUUUUUUAAUUUUAAAUCAAGGGAUGUAAUUGCAAAUGUUGAACUCCCAAGUAGAAAAUAG